UACGGAAGGGGCAAGCGUUGUUCGGAAUCAUUGGGCGUAAAGGGCGCGUAGGUGGUCUUGUAUGUCUACCGUGAAAGCGUACGGCUCAACCGUAUUUAGUCGGUAGAAACUGCAGGACUUGAGGCUGGGAGGGGCUGGUGGAAUUCCCUGUGUAGCGGUGAAAUGCGUAGAGAUGGGGGAGAACACUCGUGGCGAAGGCGGCCAGCUGGACCAGUUCUGACACUGAGGCGCGAUAGCGUGGGGAGCAAACAGG
Molecule: ribosomal RNA, 253 nt
Filed under: uncultured bacterium
Lineage: Bacteria
Description: partial 16S ribosomal RNA
Rfam family: Bacterial small subunit ribosomal RNA
Source: RNAcentral